This is a long non-coding RNA of Astatotilapia calliptera (eastern happy), 1507 nucleotides long. The record is from Ensembl. NCBI's taxonomy places the organism in Eukaryota, Metazoa, Chordata, Actinopteri, Cichliformes, Cichlidae.
UUUCCCUGUUUUCCAGGAAGCUCCCAGUUUCUGGUUGCUUUUUGGUGCUGGUAGAAUUGCAUAAAUACCCACCACAAGUAUCUGUCUGAAGACCAGGGUUAAGACGAGGGUUAAGAUUAACUUAUACUGAAUAACUAGGAUUAGGGAGCAUAAACUCUGUGACUGGUGCUUCACCAUUGUAUUUUUUCUUGUGGGUUUCUGGCCUUACUAAACACAUGGCUGGACUGAUCUUGUGGUGUAACUAUGUUGCAAAGUUAACCUUGAAUAGUGUUGCGAAAUAUUUAGCUUAGUAAUUUUUGUCUGGUAGCUUUGCGGUAGACCCCAUUAACUGCUUUGAUUUGCUGUGAGCUUUGUUGUAGCUUGGUUCCCUCUUCGUUGGUGUCUUGGACAUUUUGGUUAGCGUGGAAGUUUUUGUUUGUAGGAACCUUGUUGUGUGUUACUGUGGUUGAUGCUCAUACUUUAAUUCCAGCUUUGGUUGUCUAUUGCUGGAGUUUUGGCAAUGCAAUGUUGUGUUGGUGUGUAUGUGGUGUUGGGCAGUUCUGAUGAGAUCUGGUGCUCAUUUAGGUAGCAACGAUUAGAUUUUCACUUGCUGUUCCUAGGGUAAUUGAUUUUUUUGCUUUGUUUUGUCUCCCCCUUGUUGAAUCAAUUUGCAAGGAUAGAUUUGCUAUCUAGAGCAGAUACUACUUGGACUACACAGUCACGUGGUUAUUGUUUGUGGGCCUGGUUGUGUGGUUGCCAUUUUAAUAAAUGGAGAUGUUUUAAUCUUGCCUUCUGUUAUUGCUUUUUCUCUUUCCAGAAUAAUUCGAGAUGCCAACAAGGAGCCUUCAUGUUUUUUGUUUGUGUUUGGUUUUGCUUUGUUGUUGUUGUUUGUUUUUUUUGUUUUGUUUUUUUAUUUGGGUGGGGGGGGGGUAAACUAGUAAACUACUUGGUUGAACUCCCUCCUUGUCUCCUACUUUAAGCCAGUUUGUGAUAACUAUGGCAUUUAACGAUGUGUAGUUGCCACUAAGGAGGCCAACAUGUGCCAAGAAAAUAUCAGUGGACCACUAUUAGCAGCCUGAUAAAAAGCAGGAAGGAUCCACGCUUCCAUGCUGUUUGCACUAAAAUUCUGAAACUACCAUCCAAAUGUUGCAUUAGAAAUCUAGACUUAUCAGACCAGGCAAUGCUUUCCAAUCUUCUAUUCUCCAAUUUUGGCAAGUCUGUGCAAACUGUAGCCUCAGUUUCCUGUUUGACAGGUUCAGAGAUGCUCUUCUGCAUACCUUGUCGUGUAAGAGGUGGUUAUCUGAGUUACUAUUUCCUUCCUAUCAACCCAAAGCAGUGUUGCCAUUCUUCUCUGAUCUCUAACACCAACAAGGCAUUGACUACAUGUGACAUUGCAAGCCAAUUAAAUAACAUUUGUUCCCCAUUCUGAUGCUUGGUUUCAUGGUUACCUGACAAAAUACAUUGAAGAGCUGGUAUUUGUAAUGUAAUAUGAAUUGUCAUGGUGGAGGCUUUCAUCAGCAGAAAAAUC